GUGGCUCAGUGGUAGAGCGCUUGCCUCACAUGCAUAAGGCCCUGGGUUCAAUUCCUCAGC
Molecule: transfer RNA, 60 nt
Filed under: Dipodomys ordii (Ord's kangaroo rat)
Lineage: Eukaryota; Metazoa; Chordata; Mammalia; Rodentia; Heteromyidae
Rfam family: tRNA
About the family: Transfer RNA (tRNA) molecules are approximately 80 nucleotides in length. Their secondary structure includes four short double-helical elements and three loops (D, anti-codon, and T loops).
Source: Rfam by way of RNAcentral